This 177-nucleotide non-coding RNA is filed under the name Bacillus gobiensis. Its description in RNAcentral is "Lysine sequence". It matches the Rfam family "Lysine riboswitch aptamer". Rfam says of the family: Riboswitches are metabolite binding domains within certain messenger RNAs that serve as precision sensors for their corresponding targets. Allosteric rearrangement of mRNA structure is mediated by ligand binding, and this results in modulation of gene expression. Lineage: Bacteria; Bacillati; Bacillota; Bacilli; Caryophanales; Bacillaceae. The record is from Rfam by way of RNAcentral.
UAUGAAGAUAGAGGUGCGAACUUCAAGAGUAAGCCUUUCGAGAAUGGUGGAUUCUAAGAAAAAGGCAGAAAGGGAAGGAUCGCCGAAGUGAAUUCUGUCCAUCAACAGAAUUUGCUGGCUUUGCAUUUAAGAAAUGCAGGGCUGUCAGGAAAUGACUCCUGGAGGGCUAUCUCAUUG